This is a long non-coding RNA of Cyprinus carpio carpio, 860 nucleotides long. The record is from Ensembl. Lineage: Eukaryota; Metazoa; Chordata; Actinopteri; Cypriniformes; Cyprinidae.
CAAACCUGUACGCUUUCCUUUCAUUCGUGGCACACAACAGGAGGUUUAGUGUUCUCCUUUUGUUUGUGUAGGCGCCCCAUAAACCUAAUGCCUGUUUCUCACUUAUGGGCUCUCUUCCAAAACCUGGUGCGCUGCCCACAUACUCCUGAUCCUGCUAAAGUUUGUGUGUAUGAUGCUGCAGUCUUGUCUCUGUAGAGCAAAGAGCAGCAUGAACAUUGUUGAACAGUGUUUCACUGAAGAACAUCAAGAAGGGCAUAAUGGGAGUUAAUCAAAUUUCCCGACUGUGGUUUCUACUGUGAUUGGUGUUGGCGUGGAGCAGACCUCGGGCGAUCCUUCAUUAUGAAAGUUCAGUGUCAUCAAACACUCUGGGUUUGGGUCAGAAGUUUCUCAGGUUUAAUUCGACACCGCAGAUGGAAGUCUGAGAGUCUGUAAUUGACAGUACAGAAAUAAAUGAACUUGAAAUGACUUAAUCUGUUAGCAAGAUGAUUUUUACCUUUUUCAAAGCUUCAUAAAAUAUGCUUUCACGCUGUGUUAUUGUUAGUAUUAUUUUCAACACUUUACAGUAAGGUUUAUUUUGGGAAAAUUAGCUACAUGUACAUUAAUUAACAUCAACUAACAAUGAAGACUACCAUCAUUAACAUUCAGCUCGUUAAGUUAAGUUACCUGCAGGAUUUGUUCACUAAUGGUCAGAAAAGAAGGUGAUUACUAAAAAUAGCAAUUCAAUGCUGUAUUAUAUUGUAUUAUUGUUAGUACAGUACUUUCAUUUUAGUUCACUACAUAUGUUUCCCUGAACUAAAAAAAAUGUGUUAAAAAUAGAUUGUUAGCUAAUGUUAAUAAUAAGUACCCUGAAUGCAGUGUAA